AGCCUUCUAUAUCCGUGCUAAAAUUUCGUCACCGAUCAACCCGUUGGGGCUGAUGCAACUGCACAAAUAAGUAAAGUG
RNAcentral lists this microRNA precursor (78 nucleotides) under Trichobilharzia regenti. RNAcentral's name for it is "mir-3492 microRNA precursor family". It matches the Rfam family "mir-3492 microRNA precursor family". The record is from Rfam by way of RNAcentral. Lineage: Eukaryota; Metazoa; Platyhelminthes; Trematoda; Strigeidida; Schistosomatidae.